CCUACGGGUGUCAGCAGUGAGGAAUAUUGGUCAAUGGACGCAAGUCUGAACCAGCCAAGCCGCGUGCAGGAAUACGGCUCUAUGAAUUGUAAACUGCUUUUGUACUAGGGUAAACGCAGACACGUGUAUCUGUCUGAAAGUAUCUGACGAAUAAGCAUCGGCUAACUCCGGGCCAGCAGCGGCGGUAAUACGGAGGAUUCAAGCGUUAUCCGGAUUUAAUGGGUUUAAAUGGUGCGGAGGCGGUAGGAUAAGUUAGAGGUGAAAUCUCGAGGCUCAACUUCGGAAGUGCCUCUGAUACGGUUCGGCUAGAGUGUAGUAGCGGUAGGCGGAAUGUAUGGUGUAGCGGUGAAAUGCUUAGAGAUCACGCAGAACACCGAUUGCGAAGGCAGCUUACCAAGCUACUUCUGACGUUGAGGCACGAAAGCGUGGGGAGCAAACAGGAUUAGAUACCCUAGUAGUC
Molecule: ribosomal RNA, 460 nt
Filed under: uncultured bacterium
Lineage: Bacteria
Description: partial 16S ribosomal RNA
Rfam family: Bacterial small subunit ribosomal RNA
Source: RNAcentral